RNAcentral lists this ribosomal RNA (274 nucleotides) under uncultured bacterium. Its description in RNAcentral is "partial 16S ribosomal RNA". It matches the Rfam family "Bacterial small subunit ribosomal RNA", at positions 523 to 796 of the family's 1533-position model. The record is from RNAcentral.
AUACGGAGGGGGCUAGCGUUGUUCGGAAUUACUGGGCGUAAAGCGCGCGUAGGCGGGCUGGUCAGUUGGGGGUGAAAUCCCGAGGCUUAACCUCGGAACUGCCCUCAAUACUGCCAGUCUUGAGUUCGAGAGAGGUGAGUGGAAUUCCUAGUGUAGAGGUGAAAUUCGUAGAUAUUAGGAAGAACACCAGUGGCGAAGGCGGCUCACUGGCUCGAUACUGACGCUGAGGCGCGAAAGCGUGGGGAGCAAACAGGAUUAGAAACCCGGGUAGUCC